UGUGGAACCUCAUUACAUGUAGUGUGGCGGGUUUAAUGGUUCUAGCUCGGGUCAGAAUCAGCUGGAGAACAAUGUUUCGCAGGUGUUACAGUAAUGUUCAAAUCUAACACUUCACUGAAGGUAGCACACCACAAAUACACCAUG
Long non-coding RNA from Rhinichthys klamathensis goyatoka, 144 nucleotides. RefSeq lists it as uncharacterized. Lineage: Eukaryota; Metazoa; Chordata; Actinopteri; Cypriniformes; Leuciscidae. The record is from RefSeq and is a predicted model, not a curated record. The transcript has 2 exons.